RNAcentral lists this ribosomal RNA (204 nucleotides) under Triticum aestivum (bread wheat). RNAcentral describes it as "partial small subunit ribosomal RNA". The record is from RNAcentral. Lineage: Eukaryota; Viridiplantae; Streptophyta; Magnoliopsida; Poales; Poaceae.
AUGACAUGCAUUUCGAAGACCAUGAGUUCGAGGUGGACGAGGAGGGUGAGGGCAUUGUCGACGCACCGAAAGGAAGAGCGGGCAAUUACACUAACGUCGAUGACAUCUUACUAUGCAAUACUUGGUUGCAAGUGUCGAGGGAUCCAUCCGUUGGAGGUGAUCAAAGUAGAGAUGCUUAUUGGGGCGGAUGAAAGAACACUUUGA